GGGUUUUUGCUAUAAAAAGUAAGUAUGUAUGCUGAGGACAUGACCAUAAAAAGAUUGUCUGCUAGGUUUUCUAUCUGCCACCUUGCUAGCAAUUCGGUCUAUUGGGAACAUUU
Molecule: small nucleolar RNA, 113 nt
Filed under: Otolemur garnettii (small-eared galago)
Lineage: Eukaryota; Metazoa; Chordata; Mammalia; Primates; Galagidae
Description: Small nucleolar RNA SNORA32 (ENSOGAG00000018514.1)
Source: RNAcentral